Molecule: ribosomal RNA, 1347 nt
Filed under: uncultured organism
Description: 16S ribosomal RNA
Rfam family: Bacterial small subunit ribosomal RNA
Source: RNAcentral
UCAGCGGCAGACGGGUGAGUAACACGUAGAUGACGUACCCUCAAGACGGGAUAACGGAUGGAAACAUGCGCUAAUACCGGAUGACCUUACGAUGUCAGAAUGGUAAGGAAAGCUACGGCGCUUGAGGAGCGGUCUGCGGCCCAUCAGCUAGUUGGUAGGGUAAAGGCCUACCAAGGCGAAGACGGGUAGGGGGUGUGAGAGCACGGCCCCCCACAAUGGGACUGAGACACGGCCCAUACUCCUACGGGAGGCAGCAGCAGGGAAUAUUGCACAAUGGACGGAAGUCUGAUGCAGCGACGCCGCGUGAGUGACGAAGGCCUACGGGUUGUAAAACUACUUUAGAGGGGGAACAGCGACGACGGUAACCCUGGAAUAAGCGAUCGGCUAACUACGUGCCACCAGCCGCGGUAAAGACGUACGACGCGAGCGUUAUCCGGACUUAACUGGGGCGUAAAAGCGUCUGUAGACGGAUGUGUAAGUUGGGCGUGAAGCUCCGGGCUUAACCCGGAGAGGCCGUUCAAUACUGCAUAACUUGAGGGUGUCAGAGGGGAACGGAAUUCCCGGUGUAGCGGUAAAAUGCGCAGAGAUCGGGAGGAACACCAGUGUCGGAGGCGGUUCCCUGGGGCACACCUGACGCUGAGAGACGAAAGCUAGGGGAGCGAACAGGAUUAGAGACCCUGGUAGUCCUAGCCCUAAACGAUGAAUGCUAGGUGUGGGAUCGAAUGGUUCCGUGCCGGAGCGAACGCGAUAAGCAUUCCGCCUGGGGAGUACGGCCGCAAGGUUAAAACUCAAACGAAUUGACGGGGCCCCGCACAAGCAGCGGAGCGUGUGGUUUAAUUCGAUGCUACACGAAGAACCUUACCUGGGUUUGACAUGUAGGUGGUAGUGAAUCGAAAGGUGAACGACCCUUCGGGGAGCCUACACAGGUGCUGCAUGGCUGUCGUCAGCUCGUGCCGUGAGGUGUCGGGUUAAGUCCCGUAACGAGCGCAACCCUUGCUCCUAGUUACAAGUGUCUAGGGGGACUGCCGGCGGAAAGCCGGAGGAAGGUGGGGAUGACGUCAAGUCAGCAUGGCCCUUAUAUCCAGGGCUACACACACGCUACAAUGGUCGGUACAAAGGGCAGCGAAACCGCGAGGCGGAGCGAAUCCGAGAAAAGCCGAUCGUAGUUCGGAUAGCAGGCUGCAACCCGCCUGCUUGAAGCUGGAGUUGCUAGUAACCGCGCGUCAGCCAUAGCGCGGUGAAUACGUUCCCGGGGCUUGUACACACCGCCCGUCACGUCAUGGGAGUCGGUAACGCCUGAAGCCGGUAGUCUAACUGGAAACAGGAGACGCUGUCGAGGGCGGGACU